Molecule: long non-coding RNA, 450 nt
Filed under: Marmota monax (woodchuck)
Lineage: Eukaryota; Metazoa; Chordata; Mammalia; Rodentia; Sciuridae
Source: RNAcentral
UGGAGAGUGAGAAUUGAAAUUUGUUGAAAUUGGAUCUUGAGGCACUUAGAAUUUUUUUUCCUUGGUACUGGAACAAUGGCACACAUUCUGUUUACAAGAAGCACUGGCCACUGUGGCAAAAAUUGUAGCAAUUGUAGUGGUUUUAUUCUCAGCUCUCUGUUUUCAGGAUGUACAGGCUCAGAGGUAUUAAUGGAUGGUACACAAAGAAAGCCUUUAAUGGAUUUCUGGAAAUAUGUAAAAUAUUUCACUUCAGCAAAUGCCUAUUUCCACAAAUACCAUCAAACCUUGAUGUUAACAGGAAGGUGUAAGACAGAGCACCAUUGCAAACAUCUCUGCAUGGAAAUUUCAUCUCAGAAACAGGAAAUGAUUAUGGUAAACGAAUGAUCUCGAGAUAAAACGGUUUCACAAAACAAACCAAAAUGAGUGUGGUGGUGCAUGUUAGCUUGCUUU